Molecule: ribosomal RNA, 432 nt
Filed under: uncultured bacterium
Lineage: Bacteria
Description: bacterial SSU rRNA
Rfam family: Bacterial small subunit ribosomal RNA
Source: RNAcentral
GAUGAACGCUGGCGGCGUGCUCAACACAUGCAAGUCGAACGAACCUUCGGGUUAGUGGCGGACGGGUGAGUAACGCGUGAGAAUCUGCCCUCAGGAGGGGGAUAACGGCUGGAAACGGCCGCUAAUACCCCAUAUGCCGCGAGGUGAAAUGAAUUUCGCCUGAGGAUGAGCUCGCGUCUGAUUAGCUAGUUGGUGGGGUAAAGGCCUACCAAGGCAUCGAUCAGUAGCUGGUCUGAGAGGAUGAUCAGCCACACUGGGACUGAGACACGGCCCAGACUCCUACGGGAGGCAGCAGUGGGGAAUUUUCCGCAAUGGGCGAAAGCCUGACGGAGCAACGCCGCGUGAGGGAUGAAGGCCUCUGGGCUGUAAACCUCUUUUAUCAAGGAAGAAGAUCUGACGGUACUUGAUGAAUAAGCCACGGCUAAUUCCGUG